RNAcentral lists this unclassified non-coding RNA (224 nucleotides) under rhizosphere metagenome. RNAcentral's name for it is "partial ribosomal RNA internal transcribed spacer region". The record is from RNAcentral.
GUAGGUGAACCUGCGGAAGGAUCAUUAUCGAGUUAUAAGCGAGGGUUGUCGCUGGCCUCUUUCGAGGCAUGUGCACGCCCGAGCUCUUAAAUCCACAACACACCUGUGAACCCACCGUAGGCCUUCGGGCUUAUGUAUCAUAUACUCUGAAUGUGUCAUAGAAUGUUCAUGUUGCCUUAAAACGCAAUCAAAUACAACUUUCAACAACGGAUCUCUUGGCUCUC